UGCUCCAUCCUCUGAACCAAA
RNAcentral lists this non-coding RNA (21 nucleotides) under Caenorhabditis elegans. Lineage: Eukaryota; Metazoa; Nematoda; Chromadorea; Rhabditida; Rhabditidae. The record is from RNAcentral.